AUACAUGUAAGUUUUACCGAAUCUCGUAGGAAACUUGUUCCUUGAGGUUAGCGGCGGAACGGGUGUAUUAACACGUGGGCAACCUGCCUGUAAGACCGGGAUAACUUCGGGAAACCGGAGCUAAUACCGGAUAACCUUUUCUUCCGCNUUGGAGGGAAACUAAAAGACGGCUCANGCUGUCACUUACAGAUGGGCCCGCGGCGCAUUAUACUAGUUGGUGAGGUAACGGCUCACCAAGGCGACGAUGCGUAGCCGACCUGAGAGGGUGAUCGGCCACACUGGGACUGAGACACGGCCCAGACUCCUACGGGAGGCAGCAGUAUGGAAUCUUCCACAAUGGACGAAAGUCUGAUGGAGCAACGCCGCGUGAGCGAUGAAUGCCUUCGGGUCGUAAAGCUCUGUUGUCAGGGAAGAACAAGUACCGGAGUAACUGCCGGUACCUUGACGGUACCUGACUAGAAAGCCAC
RNAcentral lists this ribosomal RNA (467 nucleotides) under uncultured Caryophanales bacterium. Its description in RNAcentral is "bacterial SSU rRNA". It matches the Rfam family "Bacterial small subunit ribosomal RNA", at positions 51 to 494 of the family's 1533-position model. Lineage: Bacteria; Bacillati; Bacillota; Bacilli; Caryophanales. The record is from RNAcentral.